CCCAGGAUUCUCCAGAGAAAAAUAAGAAUGUCCAGUUACCCACAAUUGGGGCGGGGGUGGGGGGACAUGAUGAAAAUGCCUAGUUACCCACAAUUCUCUAGGGGAACCAGAGAAAUCAAUUACCCAGAAUUCUUCCCAGGCAGCGGGGAGGGGAGGGAUUAGGGCAGGGGUCAGAUGUGUUCUUGGGAUGCUUAUGGGGAUUGGGUCAUUACCAAGAUUUCUCCAUGGCGGAUAUUUUGGAGCGCGUGGAAUUAAAACGAGUAGGGGGAGAGAAAGCGCCGUCACCUCCGCGGGAAAUUCCAGUUUCCCCAAUUCUCCCCCGCGCCUGACGCUCAACCAAACCCUAAGGCGGAAAGGACGUCGCUCUCCCAGUCAGAGCUUCCAAUCAGGAAGGGCGUGGGGCUCACCUAAGCCAAUCAGAAGGAUCCAGUAGUGUCCAGUGUAAUAGAAUGAGAAUGCAGGAUCUGAAACCAGAUUGCACUGGACUUCUGGACACUCAGCUCUGUGAUCUUGGGUAAAUUACUUAUCUCUGUUUCUUCAUCUGUAAUACAGGGAUAAUAAUAGUAACUACUUAAGUGGGUGGUUGUGAGAAUGAAAUGGGUUAAUACAUGAAAAGUGCUUAGACCAAGGACUUGGUAUAACAUGAGAGUUGCAUAUAUAUUAGCCAUCAUUACUAACUCCCUAGGGGUACCUCAACUGGAUUUGGAGUCUGAGCAUCCAACUGGAAAGGCCUGCUUAGGAGUGUCUUGUGAAUGUGAUUUGCAUAACGGUUGAGGCCCUGCUGACGUCAAGGGGUCACUACAGCUCCAGGUCAGAUCUAGUCCUGGAAGUAGCUCCUGCCACAGAACAGUCCCACAACAACCCCACCUACCUUGCUUCCUACCCAACUCUCGAAGCACCAGGAAGUGAAACAAAGCAGCAGAGCCCCGUGCCUCCAGCUCACCCUUGUCUCUGUCAUCCCAACCCCCAAGAGUCUACUUCCUCUUCCCUCUUUUACCUUUCAUCUCCUAUCCUUUAGGCCUCCCAGAAUGGGGCCACAUUUGGGAAGAAGACAGGAGAUAUUAAACACAAGUGAGGUGAGCUUCCCCUCCUUCCUCCCACCCCCAUUUCCUUAUUCCAUUUCUGUCUACCAUGUGUAGAAAGAGCCAAACUGUUUCCCACUCAAACUGAAAUAAUCGGUCCUGAUGCUGGGAACGUUCCAUCUGAAGGAUAGAUUUACCACAGAGACAAAAGUUUCAUUGGGCAGUUUUGAAUCGUUCUAAGGGAAGGGAGAAUUCUGUCAAGGGUAACUUUCUCAGAGAAGGGUCAGCCUCUUGGGGAGGCUUUCAGGACCAUCUGUGUGGUCAGCCAUGUCCUCAUUCUGACGUCCAAAUCAUUCUGGGACCCUCCACUGGGUUGGGGCAGUCCCAGAUUUGGACCACUCCCCACUCCCA
RNAcentral lists this long non-coding RNA (1433 nucleotides) under Neogale vison (American mink). RNAcentral's name for it is "Neovison vison (American mink) lncRNA (ENSNVIG00000000255.1)". Lineage: Eukaryota; Metazoa; Chordata; Mammalia; Carnivora; Mustelidae. The record is from RNAcentral.